UGCGUAGGUGGUGCGGUGUGUUUGGUGUGAAAUCUCCCGGCUCAACCGGGAGGGGCCAUCGAAAACUGCCGCGCUUCGGGUACGGGAGAGGGGAGUGGAAUUCCCGGUGUAGCGGUGAAAUGCGUAGAGAUCGGGAGGAACACCAGCGACGAAGGUGGCUCCCUGGACCGUUACCGACACUGAGGCACGAAAGCUAGGGGAGCAAACA
This 208-nucleotide ribosomal RNA is filed under the name uncultured bacterium. RNAcentral describes it as "partial 16S ribosomal RNA". It matches the Rfam family "Bacterial small subunit ribosomal RNA", at positions 568 to 774 of the family's 1533-position model. The record is from RNAcentral.